AGCGUGUGUGUGUGUGUGUAUGUGUGUGUGUCUGACCUCCUGAUGAACCAGCCUCCGAUUGCUACCCCAUCAUCCUUCUGCAGCACACACACACACAUGCACACACACACAUGUA
Molecule: non-coding RNA, 115 nt
Organism: Xyrichtys novacula (pearly razorfish)
Lineage: Eukaryota; Metazoa; Chordata; Actinopteri; Labriformes; Labridae
Source: the annotation of a GenBank genome assembly